Molecule: ribosomal RNA, 510 nt
Filed under: uncultured bacterium
Lineage: Bacteria
Description: partial 16S ribosomal RNA
Rfam family: Bacterial small subunit ribosomal RNA
Source: RNAcentral
GACGAACGCUGGCGGCGUGCUUAACACAUGCAAGUCGAACGAACAGCGAUGGAAGCUUGCUUCUAUCAAUCUUAGUGGCGAACGGGUGAGUAACGCGUAAUCAACCUGCCCUUCAGAGGGGGACAACAGUUGGAAACGACUGCUAAUACCGCAUACGAUCUAAUCUCGGCAUCGAGGAUAGAUGAAAGGUGGCCUCUACAUGUAAGCUAUCACUGAAGGAGGGGAUUGCGUCUGAUUAGCUAGUUGGAGGGGUAACGGCCCACCAAGGCGAUGAUCAGUAGCCGGUCUGAGAGGAUGAACGGCCACAUUGGGACUGAGACACGGCCCAGACUCCUACGGGAGGCAGCAGUGGGGAAUCUUCCGCAAUGGACGAAAGUCUGACGGAGCAACGCCGCGUGAGUGAUGACGGCCUUCGGGUUGUAAAGCUCUGUUAAUCGGGACGAAAGGCCUUCUUGCGAAUAGUGAGAAGGAUUGACGGUACCGGAAUAGAAAGCCACGGCUAACUACGUG